Long non-coding RNA from Harmonia axyridis, 472 nucleotides. RefSeq lists it as uncharacterized. The transcript is spliced from 2 exons. The record is from RefSeq and is a predicted model, not a curated record. NCBI's taxonomy places the organism in Eukaryota, Metazoa, Arthropoda, Insecta, Coleoptera, Coccinellidae.
GAAAGUAAUUUCUCCCAGAUAACUGUAAAACACUUCUCAUAAUUAUACCAUUAUUCAUCAUUAAGCAGUUUUUUCUUUCCAUUUAUCCGACAAAGUAUAAAAGAUUCAGAGGUGGUUCUGCAUGGUAUUCAGGGUAUCUACGAUGGCUAGAUCACUGUUAUUUACUUUUUUAAUCAUCAGUGUUAUUAGCUAUGUUCUAACACUGGAAUGUCUUCAUUGUACAUCUAAAAAAGAAUGCGAAUCUCCCAAACCGAUAAAGUGCAAAGAAGGUUACAUGUAUUGCGUUUCAAGAAAAACUAAAUAUAGUCAGCCACAAAAAGAUUGCUAUAACAAAGAAGGUGUCUGUGAACAGAAGAAGAGUGAUGGAAGUCCUAAAUUUACGGAAUGUGAAUUAUGCAAAGAAGAUAAAUGUAAUAAAAUGAAAUUCAAGGAAUAAUGAAAAAUGUACUGAUGAAAUAAAACGGCAAAUUUA